This 332-nucleotide ribosomal RNA is filed under the name uncultured bacterium. RNAcentral's name for it is "bacterial SSU rRNA". It matches the Rfam family "Bacterial small subunit ribosomal RNA", at positions 568 to 898 of the family's 1533-position model. The record is from RNAcentral.
CGUGUAGGCGGUUGGUCAAGUCUGGUGUGAAAGCCCGGGGCUUAGCCCCGGAAAUGCGCUGGAAACUAGCCAACUUGAGCGCGAUAGAGGAGGGUGGAAUUCCUGGUGUAGCGGUGAAAUGCGUAGAUAUCAGGAGGAACACCGGCGGCGAAGGCGGCCCUCUGGAUCGUUGCUGACGCUGAGACGCGAAAGCGUGGGGAGCAAACAGGAUUAGAUACCCUGGUAGUCCACGCUGUAAACUAUGGGUACUAGGUGUUCGGGGUGUUGACCCCCUGAGUGCCGACGCUAACGCAUUAAGUACCCCGCCUGGGGACUACGGCCGCAAGGCUAAA